CAAAGACAGGCUGUUUCAAGAACGCGGUCUUGAACAAUUUGUUGACAUCUUCACAAAAGAAAAAUAAUUCUCUAAAUCAGUAACUGAGUCUCCGGAAGGUUUCUUCUUGGAAACCCCCACAUAGUCUCAUGAGCACCUACAAUGACAGAAAGGGAGGGAAUUUAUCAGCAUGUUAAUGUUUAUUCAGUGCAUCUGUGGGUGGAAGAAGAGUCAAGACUCUCCUGUUCUGCCAUGUUGCUGAUGUCUUCUAGUUUGUUUCCUAUAAAGAACAGUGCCCAGCACAAAUCAGAUUUCCAAUAAAUAUCUGGAGAGUGAUUGUUUGUGUCACUUGGAACUGCCACUACCAUCUUGGAACCCUGAGUCCAAAGGCAAGAAGAUGAGUAGAAAAAAAGAAGACUUGUUGCAGCAUCUCAUGUGUCUAACCUGAAGAUAAACCAGCAUCAGAAAGCAUUAAUUAGCUCAUCAUUCAAACUGUCUUCAGUGAAAAAUUAUCUGAGGCUGUGCAAGCCAGGAAAUGCCUGUCAGUGCUCAACCUGUCAGAAUCUCCAUUUGACCACAGGGUCAUUUGCAGUGGCAUCUGAUGGGAAAGUCAGCAUCCCCAGUAGCAUACUCGUGAGAGCAUUUCCCCAGGACUGUUCUAGUAAACAGGCUCUGGCUCAUUGCUUAAAUGUUGGCUAAAGACAGAGCCAUCUGGAAAGCAGGGUAUUAGAAUGAUCUCUAUUUUUCCAAGAAUCAAAGCAAGGUGGAACAUUUCAGAAUGAAACCAUGGAUGUUAUUCAUAAAAUCUGGGCCACAUAAGGUUAGAGGCAUAUUGAUUUUCAGUCUCAGGAUGAAAUGGCCAUCUUUGGCCUUUCAGGAAAAUGACCACAGAUUAAGAUGAUGAAGAACAGAUGCCACUAUUUGAAGCUUCAAUUAGAAAGCCCCAAAUGGGCUUAAUCGACAAGACAGCCAUAACAACUGUGUCCUGCCACAGAUUGACGGAAGGAAGACAAAUGUUUUAAUGUGGUGAAGACAAAUCUAGCUGCUUCCAAACAAAUGAUCUGGUCAGUUUGAAAAAGUUGGAAGGAAUCAAACUUGCCAAUAUGUACCAAGUUCCAGGAAGGACUUAGAUUUGAGUAAUUCAUGUUGGAAUUAAGUUUAAGAACAAAAACCUUUUUUAAAAAAUGUUUUCUUAGAUGAGCUCACCCAUGAGACUAUCUAUACCUGGCAGGGUUUAGAGAAAGCAUAGACAUAAAUCUACCUCUGCCUUGCCUAGAAGGCUUUGUGUCUCUUUUUCUGUAAAUCUUCCUCUCUUUUAGUAGCCCUUCCCUUCCCACUACCCAAAAGCAUCAUCCUCCCAUAAUGGCUCAGACAUAGAUUAUAUCUAUAAAUUCAUUCCCACCAAUUAGUGAUCACUGACUAAUGUUGAAUUAUUUUUCUUUAUGGAAAAACCUAGUGUUUACGCCAGUGAAAUGUAUCACUAAUAGUUGGAUUUCAGGUAUCAGCCACUAGUUGGAAAGAUAUCAGAGGGAAAACAUAUAUUCAUUCCACAGUCAUUUAUUCAUACGAUAGCCAUUAAUAUCACCUUUUUGAACAUCUUCCUUUUGUAAGUUACAAUGAAAAUACAAUAAAAUAUAAGUUAAAUUUCUUUUGCUCCAGAUUUUAUUUACAAACAGGGGAGUUAAGAUAUAUAGAUAAAUAACUAUACAUUAAGUCAGUGCCUGAUAUAGAUAUAUCA
RNAcentral lists this long non-coding RNA (1717 nucleotides) under Homo sapiens (human). Its description in RNAcentral is "HSALNT0367378". Lineage: Eukaryota; Metazoa; Chordata; Mammalia; Primates; Hominidae. The record is from RNAcentral.